UACAGAGGUGGUAAGCGUUGUUCGGAAUUACUGGGCGUAAAGGGCGCGUAGGCGGCCUGCUAAGUCGAACGUGAAAUCCCUGGGCUCAACCCAGGAACUGCGUCCGAUACUGGUUGGCUUGAAUCCGGGAGAGGGAUGUGGAAUUCCAGGUGUAGCGGUGAAAUGCGUAGAUAUCUGGAGGAACACCGGUGGCGAAGGCGACAUCCUGGACCGGUAUUGACGCUGAGGCGCGAAAGCCAGGGGAGCAAACGGG
Molecule: ribosomal RNA, 253 nt
Filed under: uncultured bacterium
Lineage: Bacteria
Description: partial 16S ribosomal RNA
Rfam family: Bacterial small subunit ribosomal RNA
Source: RNAcentral